Molecule: unclassified non-coding RNA, 291 nt
Filed under: Hevea brasiliensis (rubber tree)
Lineage: Eukaryota; Viridiplantae; Streptophyta; Magnoliopsida; Malpighiales; Euphorbiaceae
Source: RNAcentral
GUGCUCUUAAAUCACAGUCUUUUCCUAUUCACUUUACGUGCAAACUGGGAAGUAGACUCACCUUCCUUAUAUUAUCUUCUACUACUUGCCCUUCUCUUACACACCUUUUAUGAUCAUGAGACUUAAUCCCUUCAUCCAGAGACUUAAAUAAUUCCCUUUUUAUUCAUCACUUGAAUCAUGCAGAGGAGCCCAUUAGGAUUGCCCACUUUUUCUCCCUUGCCCCUCCCGAAUUCAUCCCAUUAGGUUUACUUGUACGCAACACUACCUCUCUGUCCUCCUUGACAUUAAAAU